GCCCGCGUGGUGGAAUGGUAGACACCGGGGACUUAAAAUCCCCUGGCUUUGGCCGUGCCGGUUCGAGUCCGGCCGCGGGUACCA
RNAcentral lists this transfer RNA (84 nucleotides) under Maritimibacter sp. Its description in RNAcentral is "tRNA-Leu". It matches the Rfam family "tRNA". From Rfam's summary of the family: Transfer RNA (tRNA) molecules are approximately 80 nucleotides in length. Their secondary structure includes four short double-helical elements and three loops (D, anti-codon, and T loops). Lineage: Bacteria; Pseudomonadati; Pseudomonadota; Alphaproteobacteria; Rhodobacterales; Roseobacteraceae. The record is from RNAcentral.